This 497-nucleotide ribosomal RNA is filed under the name uncultured bacterium. RNAcentral's name for it is "partial 16S ribosomal RNA". It matches the Rfam family "Bacterial small subunit ribosomal RNA", at positions 28 to 507 of the family's 1533-position model. The record is from RNAcentral.
GAUGAACGCUGGCGGCGUGCCUAAUACAUGCAAGUCGAGCGAACAGACGAGGAGCUUGCUCCUCUGACGUUAGCGGCGGACGGGUGAGUAACACGUGGAUAACCUACCUAUAAGACUGGGAUAACUUCGGGAAACCGGAGCUAAUACCGGAUAAUAUAUUGAACCGCAUGGUUCAAUAGUGAAAGACGGUUUUGCUGUCACUUAUAGAUGGAUCCGCGCCGCAUUAGCUAGUUGGUAAGGUAACGGCUUACCAAGGCAACGAUGCGUAGCCGACCCGAGAGGGUGAUCGGCCACACUGGAACUGAGACACGGUCCAGACUCCUACGGUAGGCAGCAGUAGGGACUCUUCCGCAAUGGGCGAAAGCCUGACGGAGCAACGCCGCGUGAGUGAUGAAGGUCUUCGGAUCGUAAAACUCUGUUAUUAGGGAAGAACAAAUGUGUAAGUAACUAUGCACGUCUUGACGGUACCUAAUCAGAAAGCCACGGCUAACUACGUG